This is a long non-coding RNA of Hemicordylus capensis (graceful crag lizard), 406 nucleotides long. RefSeq lists it as uncharacterized. Lineage: Eukaryota; Metazoa; Chordata; Lepidosauria; Squamata; Cordylidae. The transcript has 2 exons. The record is from RefSeq and is a predicted model, not a curated record.
CAGGGCGACAUGUCCCAGCACCCAGACCCUCCAAGCUACUGGCAGCAGCUGGUAAUCAUCUAGGCAGGUGCUCCGCCUGCCGUAGAGGGAGCCCACGGUCAUCUGUGAGGAGGAUGUGUUACACAUGAAGCAGUUUACUUCAAAAGGGUACAUUUGCAUUAUCAGCAGAGAAGAUAGAAAACUGCACAAUUUUAGUUGAUUGCAAACCAAAGAGCCCUUAAGCGGUGCUGUAAUUUCAGUUCCUUCUUGUUGGUUGGCUCCUUCAACAAAGUCUACCAACCAAUUUACGCAACUGCAUUCAGCUGUGUCAAGCUGUAGAUCAGCCAGAGGCUGCAACAACUUCCUGCUUCCUUUGUUUGAAGCAUCUGUUAUGAUAAAAUAGUAAACAAUUCAUGUUUUUGAAUAA